UUUUCAAACUUUAAUGAGUACAGGAUCAACUGAGAUACUUGUCAAAAUGCAGAUUUCUGAGCCCCACCCCAAAUAUGACAAACCGGGUGAUGUCCAGGAAUCUGCAUUUUAAUAGUUUCUCAGGUGGUUCUGAUA
RNAcentral lists this microRNA precursor (135 nucleotides) under Tupaia belangeri (northern tree shrew). Its description in RNAcentral is "miRNA (ENSTBEG00000019890.1)". The record is from RNAcentral. Lineage: Eukaryota; Metazoa; Chordata; Mammalia; Scandentia; Tupaiidae.